GGGGACGUGGCCCAGCCAGGGAGGGCGACUGACUCCAGAUCAGUCGAUCGGGGGUUCAAAUCCCUCCGUCCCCA
Molecule: transfer RNA, 74 nt
Filed under: Haloferacaceae archaeon
Lineage: Archaea; Methanobacteriati; Methanobacteriota; Halobacteria; Halobacteriales; Haloferacaceae
Also listed under: 2 other names
Description: tRNA-Trp
Rfam family: tRNA
About the family: Transfer RNA (tRNA) molecules are approximately 80 nucleotides in length. Their secondary structure includes four short double-helical elements and three loops (D, anti-codon, and T loops).
Source: RNAcentral